Molecule: ribosomal RNA, 455 nt
Filed under: uncultured bacterium
Lineage: Bacteria
Description: bacterial SSU rRNA
Rfam family: Bacterial small subunit ribosomal RNA
Source: RNAcentral
GAUGAACGCUGGCGGUAUGCCUAACACAUGCAAGUCGAACGGGCUCUUUCGGGAGCUAGUGGCGGACGGGUGAGUAACGCGUGAGAAUCUGCCUUCAGGUCGGGGACAACAGAGGGAAACUUCUGCUAAUACCGGAUAUGCUGAAAAGUGAAAGAUUUAUUGCCUGAAGAGGAGCUCGCGUCUGAUUAGCUGGUUGGUAGGGUAAAAGCCUACCAAGGCGACGAUCAGUAGCUGGUCUGAGAGGAUGAGCAGCCACACUGGGACUGAGACACGGCCCAGACUCCUACGGGAGGCAGCAGUGGGGAAUUUUCCGCAAUGGGCGAAAGCCUGACGGAGCAAUACCGCGUGAGGGAGGAAGGCUCUUGGGUUGUAAACCUCUUUUCUCAGGGAAGAAGAACUGACGGUACCUGAGGAAUAAGCAUCGGCUAACUCCGUGCCAGCCGCCGCCGUAAAAC